GACGAACGCUGGCGGCGUGCUUAACACAUGCAAGUCGAACAGAAAGGCCCUGCUUUCGUGGGGUGCUAGAGUGGCAAACGGGUGUGUAACACGUGAGUAACCUGCCCUACACUUUGGUAUAACUUCAGGAAACUGGGGCUAAUACCGGAUAGGAGCUCCUGAUGCAUGGGGGGGGUUGGAAAGUUUCGGCGGUGGGGGAUGGGCUCGCGGCUUAUCAGCUUGUUGGUGGGGUAGUGGCUUACCAAGGCAUUGACGGGUAGCCGGCCUGAGAGGGUGACCGGCCACAUUGGGACUGAGAUACGGCCCAGACUCCUACGGGAGGCAGCAGUGGGGAAUAUUGCACAAUGGGCGGAAGCCUGAUGCAGCAACGCCGCGUGCGGGAUGACGGCCUUCGGGUUGUAAACCGCUUUCGCCUGUGACGAAGCGUGUGUGACGGUACUUAGUAAAGAAGCACCGGCUAACUACGUG
This 468-nucleotide ribosomal RNA is filed under the name uncultured bacterium. RNAcentral's name for it is "partial 16S ribosomal RNA". It matches the Rfam family "Bacterial small subunit ribosomal RNA", at positions 28 to 507 of the family's 1533-position model. The record is from RNAcentral.